ACGCAAGUCAUUGGGUGAUAAAAAACCCAAAGGCGUAAUGAAAGUAAAGAGUUUGAGAGAUAAAGGAAUCGAAAGAAAUUUUGAUUCUUGAUUCUUUCGCUCAAGGGAAGAUGGAUAUCUUUAUUUUUUCUUUUAUUAACAAUCGGUUGUGUUUUAAUAUUUUUAAUAUUAUACACAAUUGUUGUUUUUUUUUUGGAAAAUAUAGAUUCUCGCAUUCCCAGGGCGCUUGUUUCUCGCUUUGCGAGUCUAUGCGCACCUAGAGCGUACACGAUGAUACCCGAAAGAUGGUGAACUAUGCCUGGCCAGGACGAAGCCAGGGGAAACCCUGGUGGAGGUCCGCAGCGAUUCUGACGUGCAAAUCGAUCGUCAGAGCUGGGUAUAGGGGCGAAAGACCAAUCGAACCAUCUAGUAGCUGGUUCCCUCUGAAGUUUCCCUCAGGAUAGCUUGCGCUCGGUUGUGAAGAGUCUCAUCCGGUAGAGCGAAUGAUUAGAGGCAUUGGGGUCGAAACGACCUCAACCUAUUCUCAAACUCCAAAUAGAUGAGAGCCCCGGCUUUCUUAAAAUUGAAGCCGCGGGAUUCGGAUCAGAGUGCC
This 592-nucleotide ribosomal RNA is filed under the name nr. Bannania sp. MF-2016. RNAcentral describes it as "eukaryotic LSU rRNA". It matches the Rfam family "Eukaryotic large subunit ribosomal RNA", at positions 684 to 1123 of the family's 3401-position model. Lineage: Eukaryota; Metazoa; Arthropoda; Insecta; Hemiptera; Reduviidae. The record is from RNAcentral.